RNAcentral lists this long non-coding RNA (252 nucleotides) under Lathyrus oleraceus (garden pea). Its description in RNAcentral is "Pisum sativum (pea) long non-coding RNA (PSAT_LNC037618)". The record is from RNAcentral. Lineage: Eukaryota; Viridiplantae; Streptophyta; Magnoliopsida; Fabales; Fabaceae.
GCGGAUUGAGGUUGUUAUUCCAAGCACCGCCGAGGUCAGAAAGGAAUCAAAAAUUAGGGCCGCUUCAGGGGCAAGUCGAAAGCAGAAUGGUAGCCCUGUUGAAAGAGCAUGCGGAUACCUUCGCCUGGUCGUGUCAAGAUACGUCAGGGUCGGAUACCGGUGUUGUUGUGCACAAGCUACCAUGGAGAGAAGACUGUCCUCUAGAGAAGCAGAACGCCAGUGCCUGUAUCAGAGAGCCAUGGUGACUUUGUU